RNAcentral lists this long non-coding RNA (18374 nucleotides) under Heterocephalus glaber (naked mole-rat). RNAcentral's name for it is "lncRNA (ENSHGLG00100045087.1)". The record is from RNAcentral. Lineage: Eukaryota; Metazoa; Chordata; Mammalia; Rodentia; Bathyergidae.
CUUGCAUGCUGUGGCCCGGGUGGGUGCCAGCGCUGCCGCGCCGCCCGCGCCUGGCAUCCCGAGCGGCCUCCUGCGUCCCGGCCCGGCUCGCAGGUGUUCAUGAGAAAAAUGCACAAAAUCCCGACUGACCGGAAUAAUUCAUGAAGAAGGGGCUGAAUCCGUGGGUCAGAGAACACAGGACCAGUUUGCCAUCCCAAGGCGGAAGUCUGGUGACUCGGAUUUGGCCCUGCGUUUCCCACUCCUGCUGCAUCUUACCCAGUCGAGGAACGAAAGGUCUUGACACCUUCCUGAAGCAUGGGAAGAAAGGAGGUUCUGAAAGCACAGAUCCAAGACCACCAGAGGCCGGGGACAGCGAUUCCUGGAGGGGCCGCUCACACAACACCAGGAGCUGAGGAGAACUGGAGCAGGAGGAACAUGGGCCCAACAAGGGUGGAAAUACCAGCAAUUCCAAAAGUCAUCUACAUCAGUGCCCAGGACGCCCAUGCAGAACCCACUGAAUGGAAGAAAACGUGGUGGCUGCUUCCUCAAUUUGCAACUGCAGAAGCUGGAAUAAGGGCCUGAGAAGGCAGAGAAGCCACAUGAGUCCAGUCCCAAAGCUGUCAGAGUAACCCUGAGGGAACUGUCUACUGAAUUAUGACCAGUUGUGCCAACAGACAUUGAGAAGAGACCUCCUUUCCAUUGGCUCCUAUCACACCUGGCUGCCACUGCUCCUGGGAUCUGGACCAUCUUGUAUCCACCUUUGAGCGUCACUUCCUGUUUCAGCUGUGGGAGUUCUGGUCCACUUUCCCUGUGAAGAAACCUUCACUUUUUCCUCCUUUGGAGUUCUGGAUUAGACUCUUGUACCUGGAACUGGGUCAAGUUAGGCUAAACGCACCUCUAGGCAUUCCUGUUUCUCAGAAGUUGUCAAGUUCACAUCAUACCUGUUUCAUUGGUGACCAGGGGUCCACUUCUAGCAGAUGCUACCUGGCCUGGUCAGUAUUUUUCAUGGUCAUCUCUUUAGUGCCUUUAUCUCAUCCCCUGCCCAACUCAGGUGAGACUUGCCCAGUGGUGACUUCUCUCCUGGUACUUUAGAUAGGGAGAGAAAAUGUGGCUUGGUGGAUCUGCCAUCUUCUUCAGUUUGGAGGCAAUUGGAGCAUGGCUCCAUCUAGGGAGGAAAAUGACUCCGAAAGAGACUGUCCUUAUCUCAGCUUCUGCCCUGUUCUACUCUCACAAUCCUUAUUCUUGCCCUUUGUGCCUGUCGUAAUGCAGGAGAAUUGUGGUUUUCUUUUUUCUAUUAAAUAUAACUGUAGCUAUUUUCAUUAUUGCAAAACAGCACAAGCUUAUUACGAAAACAUGAGAAAUAUAGACAAUAGAAGACAAAAAAUAUUCCCAAAUUUUAUCCCAAAGACAAGACAACUAUUGAUUCAUAUAGUUAUACAAUAUCAUACACAUAUACUACAUAUAUUUAUAUAUUUAAUGUGACUAUAAUAUCACAAUACCAUUUAUAUUCUUUGAUAACACAUCUUGUCAUUUAAUGUCUUAUGAAUAUAUUUCUAUAGCAACAAGCUCAGCUAUACUGAAAUUUUAAGAGUACUCAAUUGUAUAUAUGCCCUCAUUUAUCUCAUCUCACAUAGUUUAAUGUUUAGGCUGUUACCUCCUUUUCUAUAUUGUCAUUAAUGAUCAUGGAUUUAGUUUAAUCUUCCUAUAAUUAUUUCCGUAAGGUAAAUCCUUAGAAAGGGAUCGAAGGAUGAGUAGUAAAGGUUGCAAAGCUCUCCGAAUCUGGAGCCAGCAAUAACUGCUCAGACUCCCUUAAAAAUAAGAGCUCUAGGAAGGCCACACAUGCCCUUUCCCAGAUUCCUUCCCAUAGCUACACUUGGGCAGCCCUGACUUCUUUCACCUUGCCCUGAACGGAGAAUAGCCCUGAGAGAUGGCUGAGGAACAGGUAGUGAAUGAGCGAGUGGUGGUGUCAGUUUGGGUUUGGUUUUUGGAUAAACUUCACAGUUCCUCAUUGGAUGCUGAGAAAUGAUUAUUCAUUCAUGACCCAUUUAUGGAAGAGCCAUUGCUUCCAGAUGCCAGGCUAGAGGCUGAGAAGACAGAGAUGGAUUAAACAGGAAUUCUUCUCUCAGGAAUAGCACAGCCUAGGGAAGGAAGGCCCGUGAUAGACAGCACACAUUUACUCCAUGAUAAAGAGGAAACGUAUAAGAUCAGUAAUAUAUCUCAGGGAAGAAAACUGGAACCAUCUAAAAUCCCACAGGGAAAAUAUGAGGUUCCUGCAGUCUACUAGCCCAUUCAUCUCAGCUAACACCUUUGUGUGGAUCCUUUGGUGGUGAGACUUGCUCGCUUGUGGUCAUCCUUGCUAAACACAACCUGCCCAAAGGCAUUGACCGUGUCCUUCCUUUGCACCUCUAGCAAACUGGUACCAUCUUAUACCAUGGCUUCUGAAAUCUGUUCAGUGUAAAAUCCAAAUUAGAGUAAACAAAAUUAAAGGUAAAGAGAUUCAUGAGUUGAAACAAAGACUCAAUGUUUUAUGUAUGUAAGAAAAUUUGCAUUAAUUCAUAUCCUUCUGCCUGAUAGAAACUUUCUCAGAUAUUUCAUUAUAGAAGAAACAAUCACAUUCCAGAAAAUGUGGGAAGUAGAGAAAAGGAGAAUUAUCAGCCCAUCUCACCAUCCUAACCCAGGGCAAAUAGCAUUCUAGUGACCUUUGCCCUGAAAAAUUUGUAUUAAGAUGGUGUUGAGGACAAGAGCUAAGGAACAUGUGAGUUUUUCAUCUCCAAUUUUAUUGUGAAUAAAUAUAUCUGAUAGUGAAUUAUAUUCAUGUAGUUCAAAAUUCAAAAACACAAAAACAGAGACUGAAAAGUCCAUGAACCCCAGCCUCUAUUACUUGGAGACAUCCAGGAGUCUCAGUGUCUUGUGUAUCCUUCUAGAGUUUUUGUGCAUAUUAAACCAUGCGUGUUUAUAAAAUAUGAGUUUUGACUAGAGGGCUUUGGCAAAACUGUUACCAAAUGUCCUAAAUUUAGCUAAACUAUCUUCAGUAAUUUUAAUGGCAGGCCUGAGGUACAGAUGGAGAAGAGAAAAGGAUGGAGAGAGCGAGAGAGAGAGAGAGAGAGAGAGAGAGAGAGAGAGUGCUCCUGAGGGAGAGCGUGAAAGAAAGAGCAAUCUUUCAUUUAUCCAACUAGUAUUUAUUGAGCAGAUAUUACAUCUCAGAUAUUAUUCUAUGCCCAGGUGAUACAAGAGUGAAAAAAAUUCCCUGACUUCAUGGGGAUUAAGAAUGGAAGGUGGCAAACAAUAACCAUAAUCAAAAAGUAAAUUAUAAAGUCCAUCAGAAUGUGAUAAGCGUUAUGGAAAAACACAAGUGGGGUCCAGGAGAUGAGGCACAUCAGGAGACAGUUUUAACAUGAGUGGUCAGGGAGGGCUUCACUGAGGAGGCCUUAAAGGAGGCGAGAAGAUGGGCCCUGCAGAUACUCAGGGAAAGGGCACUGCAGAGGGAAGAAGCAAUGCACAGGCCUCGCAGCAGAAGUCAAGGCCUGGAGGUUUCCAGCAGCCAACCUCCUCCAGCUCCGGGCUGUUCCUGGUAACCUGUGCCCGCAGCUGGCUUCCCUUGGAGUUCAGGUCAGGCCGGUGUGUUUGGGCCAUAGUGCUAAGCUUACUGUAUACUAGACGUCAGUUUGUCUUCUCUCUAAAUUUUGAUUCUGAUGCUUAAUUUGACUCCUUCCAAGGUGAUUCUGUGGUUAGUCUGAAUAAGGAAAGGAGAGGGGCAGUGUUAUUGUAGUAGGUAGACAAGGUUGACAUUUGGGGGUCCUGGCUUUUAAACCAAUUCUGUUUUCAAGUCUUUUGUCAGACACAUUAUUCAACCUUUCCGGUCCUCAGGUUUGUCUCUUAGGAAACAAAAAGAAUGUGCUUAGUUGGCUUUAGGGCUGUCCCUACCAUUGGUUUUCAAGCUCUGUGACCAUGUGAGCAGUCCAGGUAGGAAGUGGCAUCAGAUGACAUCUAGCAACACCAGGGGACACAGAGGAGCUUCUGCCUGCAGAGGACUGUGUGCAUGAUAUGUGCCGCCACCUCGUUUCCCUUCUAGACUAGAAGAGCCCAGACCAGAAGAGCCCAGACCAUCCUUCAAAUAGAAUAUUUCACCUGAAUAAGCCCAGAAUUCCCUAAGUGAACAGAGGAGACAUGGGGACACGGUUAAUUGCUUUGUUCUUGUGCCGUUGGCAGUAUGGUUCCCUUUAAGCCCAGAAGGGCUCCUUUCCCCUGCCCCUUGGCGGAGCUCAUUCUCCAUAUGCAGUAGGGGUGGCAUGCUGGGGCCAGGGCUCCUUGUUUUGUUCCUGUGGGCCACAGAGGUCCCCUCCCUGUUUAGUGUCUUCCAGUUGGACACAGGGAGUCUUCGUCUACCUGGGGAAUAAGACACUGAGGAGGAGGGAAGCGUGUCAUGGACACCACUCUCCUUCCAGCAAAGUCACUGUGAAUUUAAAACUCAGACUGUGUGUAAGAGGUUGUGGGGGCAGAAAGGGGCCUUUGGAAAUUUCAUUUGGAGGCAGAGGUGCUAAACAUGAAUAGAAGCCUUUGCUUUGACUCUCAGAGGGUGAGUCACCUUGGUUAUAGUUACUCUUGGUUAUUCCUUGCUUUUUCUUUUGUUAUCUCCGCCCGCACCCCCGCCAUACCCACCCAUCUUUAGCAUUCUUAGCUGCUUUUCUACAGGUCAGCUGAAAAGUGACUUGCAGAAUAGGGCUUCUCUUCCCCUAUUGGAGUUCAUGGGCAUUAUGUUUCCUAGCACUGGGAGGAAAUAUACACGACCAUGCACUUUCCACUCAUAAAGGACCCUGAGGUAUUUAAUUGUGAAAAUCAACUUCUGAUUUAUGUUACUUUCCCAGUGCCUUUUCUUUACACACAUAUGAAAAUUGCUCUAUUACUUCUUACAUUUCAUGCAGUGCCCUUUGUCUCCAUCAACUGUUGUGGAGAGAAAUUUUAUUUGGAAUAUUCAUAACAAGUCUAUCGCUAAUUAUCACUUUAACAAUGUGUUAUGGAGUGUAUCCAUGCAGUCAUCUGGAAAAGCACAUAUGCCAUGAAAUUUGGGGACUUGCUGUGUGCUGUAGGUGCCCAGUCUCAGUGUUUCAUCAGAUCUUUGCUUGGGGAGGAGGUAGAGGUGCUUUGUGAGGGAGUAUGGAGGCCUGCAUCCUGCAUUCCUGUCCUCAUAGCAACAGUUUCCAGGGUGACUUGUUUUUGAGUGUAAAAAAAACCUUAAUGUGAAACAAAAACCCUUCCCUACUCUGCAGCCCUAUUACGGUCAGCCCAGGUCAGUGCCAGGUAGACUGAUCUUAGCCACAGAGCUAAUCGCAGAUGAAGACCCUGCUGUUCUUGGUGCCAUCCUGGCACUCUGGCAAGAAGAGUGGAGCUAAAAUUGCCACCUGGUUGGCAGGCCUCAGAAGCAAAUGGAGAGUGACCUCAGCAUGUCAGAAUGAGAAAGGAAAGAAUGCCUCGGCGUUUCUUUCUUCCUGCUCUCUUUUCUCUGGGAAAGGAGAAUGGACUCACACUGGGUUUCUUCUCCAGGAUUCUCAGUGAGUCUGGGAUUUGGGAGGCUAGAAUCAUAUUUUUACCAGGACACAUGGAGCGCUUCCCUCUGAAGCUUCCUGAUGGACAUGGAUGAAGCCCCAGAGGCUGCCUCCAAAUGAGGGCAGAGUAAUGGAGCCUAAUGGAGCACAGCUCCUAGUCUGAGCACAGUCCUACCGCAGGGAUAAAUCAAGCAGCCUUUAGGUGGGGCCAGGAAGGGGACAGAGGGAAAUGAAUGACUGUGUUGAGCUCAGCAUGACUUUGUGGAUCCUCUGAAGCUUUUAACUAAGUGGAGGAUUCAGACUCAGGAAUUUACUGAGGAAUAUGACUUGGAAGGAUGGAAAGUUGCAUCUGUUAUAACAAGCUUUUAAGGAUGAGUUUUCAGAGCACUUGGAGCCUGGUUUUGUUGGAUGUUACUUUAGAAAUAAUAACUACUUAUUAUUUGUUAAGUGCUUACUCAGUACUAGGCACAUUGUUCAUCAUAAUCAAUAAUACCUAACAUUGAUGGAGUAUUUGUGAUGUACCAAACUCUCAAGCACUUUAGAUUCUGACUUAACUAGGUCCUAGAAGGAAGCCCCCAUUGGAGCCAUCACUAAUAUGUAGAGAAAUUGAGGCUCAGGGUAUUAGAUAACUUACCAGAAACACUAAGGAAACCAGUAGCUUUAGGUCAGUCACUUACCUGUUUCAGGACACAGAGCACAGAGGCUUUCCCCCUUUACCCUUUAUGAAACAGCAGGAGAGGACGGGGGCUGUAUCUCAGUGGUAGAGCUCUUGCCUAGCGUGUGCAAGGCUCUGGGUUUGAUCCCUUGUACCACAAAAACAAAACAACCAUAACAACAGCAAAACCAGCAGGAGAAAGUGCUGAGAAACAGCAAGAAAGUGGGGCACUGAAAGGGGACAGGAGUCUGUGUAGCCCUGGGUCAGUGCUGGUACAAAGCUGGCCUUAUGACCUGGGUGCUUUGCAUCUGUUAUAAUGCACUGUGAAAACCCAGUGUUAGCUGUUGUCCUAAAGAACUGAUUCAAUAAACCCUACAUUUCUGGACAUUUGGUUUCCUUGUUUCUAUUUGGGUGGCACUAGGAUUUGGGAGGAGCUAGUUGGGAAUGUAUUUAAGGAGGAAAACUUUGGAUGUGGUUUUAGAAACAAGGCACCACAACCAGACUGUGAUGCAGGCUUCAUCUGUGGACAGGUGUAUGUGGACAGGUGCAUUGUGCAGGCACCAGCGCGGGCAGAGGAAGUGGUAGGUUUGAAGGUAGCAAAAUAGGGCGGCUUUGUUGUUGUCUGGCAUGGGCCCUGCCAGGCCACAUCCAUUAACUAUGCCAACACCACUGCUAAUAGGUGGGUGAUUCAGCUCCUUCCUGCAUUUUAUUGCCCAACAGAGACUUUAAUAGCCUUUUGAUUUAGCAAGUUAACAAAGUAAGCUCUCAAGCUCCACUGUUUAACACCAGCUGGAUGACCCUGGGCCUGCUGCUGCCUGGAGCCCUCUGGUACAGUCUUUGCAUUGAAAGAAGAGAAAGCUGUGGAAUUUUCAGGCUCUCCUCGAGAGCUCCUUUUGGGGCAGCCCUGCCAGCCCAGCAUGCUUAGACCCCUCCGAUGUCAUAUGUCGCCCCCGCCCCCAUCAGUCCAGCCGCAGAAGAGAUCUGUCUAGAAGUUAAUAUCCCAGGAACCUAAAGGUUGGGUGUCUUUGAGGAAGAGUGUCAGAUGAGAAUGUGAGGGUUCCCGGAUGGGGCUCUUUAUUGAUUUCCUGGAACUAUUGUGUAACAAAUUAUCACAAACUGGAUAAUUUAAACAAUAAACACAUUCUACCACAGUUCUAAAAGCCAGAAGUUUGAACUCAAGGUGUUGGUAGGGCCAUGCUCCCUCAGAAGGCCCUAGAGAAGGACCUUUGCAUGUCUCUUACUGGCUUCUGGUGGUUGCCAGUGAUCCUUACUGUCCCUUAGCUCGUAGACACAUCACUCUGUCUCUGCCUCUGUGGCCACACAGCCUUCUCCCUGUGUACGUCUUAUAAGGACACAAGCUGUAUUGGAUUUGGGGUCCACACAACUCCAGGAUGCUCUCAUCUUAACUAGUUACAGCUGGAAAGGCCCUGUUUGAAAGCAACAUAAGAGUCUGAGGUUCUGGGUGGACCUGAAUGUCCAGGCCCUUUAAAAGCAAGUGAAAAGAGGUAGGCCAUGUGGUAGCUGAUUCACACAGCUAGAGAGAGGUGGUUUCAGACAACACUUUCUGGUACAACUUUGUGCAGUGAUGGGAAGGCCCUGUAGCUGCACUGCUGAAAAUGUGGCUAAUGCGACAGAGGAACUGAAUUUAGCAUUGUGAUUGAUUUAAAUUAAGUUAAACAGUCAAGUCAUGUGACCAGGGGCUACUGUUGCAGAGAGCAAAGCCCUCAACCAGUGAAGGUGAACCUUUUAGAAACUGAGUGCCCAAACUGCAACAUAGAACCUACUUAUUUAUCGCAAAGUGCCAACACUGCCAUUAAACCCGAAUACUGAGGCUUUAGUUUAGAAAAGACAACUCAUAUAAUAAUAUCUUUUGUCUUGAAAGAAAAACAAAUAACACACGUGUCAUAGGUUCACCACCGCUGCCCUAAACCCUCCUGAGUGUGGAAUAGGAGAAGGAGACGUGAAGGCUGUCAAAGUCUGGGCAGGGCCAUUUGCAUCCAGGAUGGCCAUCAGCUGUUUAGGAUGCUGAUCAAGGUCUGCAGGGGUCUCUUUCCGUCUCCGGCUAGAGGAAGGACAUCACAUGGGAUCUCAGCACACAGGACAAUGGUCUCGGGAGUUCUUAAACCAGCAGCACCUCUUCCAAAGGAAGUCAUUUGUACUUUUGACAUGUAGGACCAUUAGUUGGAAGAGAGGCUGAUUUGGAUGGAGGUCAGAGACCUUCAUAGGGUUCCACCUUGCCUUCUCUUGAACCCUGAACCACAAAGUGAGGAAAUUAUGGUUGAGCCUACCAACCAUGUGAGAGAACAAGAAAUGGAGGUUCAGAGAAGUAGAGAAACUUAACAAGGUCACAGAGCAAGUGGUUUGAUGAAUAUCGUUAUCUUUGGAUUUCUGAGGAUCCAUUCCUGGGUCCUUCUAAAGUCCUUGAUGCCCUUUUUGAAAGAAGAUACUCAGUCUACUAGUCAGCUACUAUGAAAAAACUACUCUAAGGUCAGAUGCAACUUCUGGCUUAAUCACAACAGAAUUAAUGUUUGUUCGGUUGCUGGUUUUGUUUUGUGAACUGGCUGAGAUCUGUAGGUGAGUAUUAUGCAUGGGUACCCUUUCCAGGUGCCACUCAUCAAAUGCACACUAUAUGCCAUUACAGGCUGAGUAGAGUCCUUCAUUUCAUUGUAUCAUUGAAUCUCCAUAGGUUGGUGAUGUUGGUAUUACUGAUCCCAUUUGGGGAAAACUGAGGCUCAUGGGAGUGGGAGGCAGGGUUCCCAACCCAUGCCUUUUGCUCAGGGAGUUGCUGUCUCCUUAGAAGGAUGGUAAAGAAAUAUAAAAUAUCUGUCAUGAAUUAGGAAGAAUGUCCUAAAAUCUCAAGGUGCCAUUUAAAGGCAAAGACCAGUGUGGCUCGUGAGGGAAGGAGAGGCCAGACCAGGAGGUGACCACAAGCAGGUACAAGGCAGCCAGGCAUCCCAACGCAAUGCUGUGGUAAGAAAGCAAGGAGUAGAACAGCGUUGUGGAAAGUGAAAACCGCCUAGGAUGUGUGGGAGGCUGGAGGCAGAUGGGUGUGGAUGAGAAGGGCAAUAGGAGGGAUCCUUGUGUGAUGGAAAUGCUCUGUCUUUUCCCUGUAUCCAUGACUUGCCAUGAUAUUGUGGUAUAAGGUAGUUUUGCAAGACGUCGGCAUUGGGGGAAACUGGGUGAAGGGUACGUGAGAAUUCUAUGUGAAUCUAUACAAGUUUAAUUUUUAAAAUAUAUACAGAGUCUACUCCCAAAAAUGUAUAUACACUCCAAGAAAAGAAAUAUAGGAUGAUGUUUUUCCAACCCUCGUAUGGGGGAUCCUAGAGGAUGUCGUAUAUCGCAGAAAACCCACUCCACUGCUAGCCCUUAGAGAAGAAAUUAAAAGUACACGUGCAGCAAUUUCAAUGACCAAGGUUACACAAGCAGUAGUUGGCUGUACUAACAAAGUUCUGGAAGCCAGUGACCACACUUUGGCCACCUCUUGUAACUGUAGAGGCUGAAGGUAACUUACAUUAAACUCAUGAUGUCUCAAUAAAUUUAGUAUUAAAAUAUUUAUACAAGCUUUUCUUUUCUUGAAGUGCAUAUACUUUUUUGGUGAACUCUGUAUAUAUAUGGGAGAGAGAGUGGAGUUCACAGACCCCCAGCCCUUCACCCCUUGCAUGCACUCCAGGAGAAGCUUGCAUGGUGUCUUUUUGCAGCAAGGUAUCUUCAGGUGUCUGUCCUGGAUGCCUUUGGGCAGGACCAAGAGGAAUACAUGCCUGAGAGCUAGGCAGAUGGCACUCGGAGAGACAGAUGGCCAGAAUCCCCAGAGGUGGGAGCACUCACUGAGCACCUACUAGGUGCCAGGUGCUGUUCCAGGGCUAGAGACUGAGGUUAGGAAAGCUGGUGCAGCUUCCCACAGGUUUGCAUUGUACAGUUGAAGACAGAUGUAAACCAGGAACAGGGCAAUGCCAGGUGGUGACAGGUGCUGUGAAGAAGAUGAAAGAGCAGAGUGUGACAGAGUAGCUGGGGGCUGCUUUUGCUGGAGCAGUCAGGGAAGGCUUCUUUGAGGAAAACCUAAGUGAGAAGGAGGCAGCCAUGGGGACAUGUGAGGGAGAGUAUUCUAUGCAGGAGGAAGAGCAGGUGCAGGAUCUCUGAGACAGGAAUAAGCUUGUGCACGAGGGGCAAGAUGAAGACCAUAGGAAGGGAAGCACUGGCAUUGGGAGCUGGAGGGCGAUGAAGCUAAAAAGACAGGCAAAGGCCAGAUCCUAUAGGCAGGUGCUUGCAGAUGUUGGUAAGGAGUUGGUAUUGGGAGUCUCUGGCAGGUCUGAAGUAGGUACAUGGCCAGCUAUGUGUGGAUGGGUUUUAGAAGGGCAGGAGUGGAAAAUAGUAGACCACAUUGUACUACUGCAAUGGUCCAUGCAAGAGGGCAGUGUCAUGAGUAGGGCUUUGGCAUUGGCAUGGGAAACCUGUUGGAUUGGGGUUGCUCUGAGAGGAGAGCUAUCAGAGAUUUGCUGGUGGUUUACACAUGGAUGCGAUGGCAAGAAAAAGAUCCAGGAUGAUUCCCAGGUCUGCUGUUUCAUUCUAUCCCAGCUAACUCCAAAGGACUGGUCAGAGAAUGUCCUUCAGAGAAUAGCACUAAAAAUAGAUGAGAAUUGGGCUGAGCCUCAAAAAGUGUGGGUUGAAGGGGUGACCCCCUCACCAGUUUCACCACUCUGGUCCUUAGGCUCUUUCUUGCUGCAGGGAGCAGACCUGCUCUGCUUUUCUUGUACAUGGAGCUGAUUGUAAGAUGGUGGUGAGGUGAGGGGGUUUGGCAGCCAUCCUGGCAGUGGUCCUGUGACACCCAGGAGAACGGGGGCACAGUCUUCCCCCACCUAAGCAGCUAUCAGCAGACAUCAUAUACUGUCCAUGUCUCCACUGUUCUGAGCCAGCUGUGGUUUGGAGCCCCCUGCAGACAUGCUGCCUCCUCCUUCACUCUCUGGGCUGCACACUCCAGAUGCCCUGCAGGGAGAGUCUCCUAGGAUUGGCUGGUCCAUCCAGGCCAUGUCUGCAGGGCAGAGGGCUCGGGCCAGGCCAUUGCCAAGGCAGCUGGAGUCCUUGAUGCAUCCCCCAAAAGCCAUUGCCUUUGACUUGUUCUGGGCCUAGUUGUGGCCCAAGCAUCAUGGAACAGAAAAUGUGCAUAGCAGCACAAGUGCCCGGGGCUGGGUGUGACCUCCAGAGGUGUGGCAGGCAUUGGCAUAGACGUCCUGGACACAAAAGCUGUGCAAUUCAGGAAGGCCAGUGUCCAGUGGAUGAGAAGGACCUAACAUGUCAGUAAGGUGGACAGCUUCUGUCGGCAAAAGUGGGAGGCACGCAGAAAAUAACCUUGGAUUUGUGUAAUAGUAUCUCUUGUGAUGUGGGAUUAAUUUUAUCUUUGGUGCUGCAUCUUUGGUGGCCCAGGGAACGCUGCAUUUCUCCACUCUCUUCCGUCCAUCAAAGUGGCUCCUCAAAGAGCACUUCUCACAUUCCUCACCCCAAGGAUAGAACAGAAUCACCUCAAGCACAGAACCAUGGCCCUAGGGGACAUGGCCUUCACCUGCUUCCUUUUUAUCUGCCUCGCCUAAUUCAUCUUUCCUUUCUUUUUCUCCCUUAAUCCCUCGAAGUUAGCCAGGGAGGGGCAGAAAGGAAUCUUGGUUUUUGUCUGACUCUAUAGGAGUACAGUUGCUAGAACUGAACUGUGUUUCCCCUAAAUUCCUAGGUUGAGCCCGAAUCCUACUGUAAGUGUAUGUGGACAGAGGCCUUGAGGGGGGAAAGGGUCCUGCAGAGCACUGGUAUUCUUAGGAGAAGAGACGCUAGAGGUUGCUUCCUCCCCUGCACACACAGAGGAAAGUUCAUCGGGGUCAGACAGAAGGCAGAUGUCUACAAGCCAGGAAGAAAGUCCUCACUAGACAGCUAAUCCUCAGAACCUUGAUCUGAGACUCCGCAGCCUCCAGAACUUUGUGAAAUUACACUCCUGUUGUUUCAGCCAGCCAGUCAUUGGUAUUUUGAUGUGAAAGAAUGAGCAAACCAAGACAAUGAUAUUUUCAAAUAAGUUGUUUUCUAUGUACCGAGAGUUUUUUGAUGUGUCAAAAUUUUUUUGGUGCUCACAUGCUAGGGAUCAGUUAUUCUGGUCCCCAAGCCAGAUAAAUUAGAUAGCAUCAUUGCUACUGCAGAACCCUAAUGGCUUCACAAGUAGUUUAUAAUAAAAUCGGAGACUGUAACAUGAUCAAUGUGACCCUAGCUUUGCCUGCUGCUCCAGCUUCCCUUCCUAACUCCUCAUCCCCCGUUACUGCUGUCCUUCCCCCAGCAUGUUCCCACCCCAGGGCCUUUGCAUUUGCCAUUCCUUCUGCCUGGAAUGCCUUUUUGUACCAUUUCAUUUCAAAUAGCAGUCCCUAGCACUUUCUAUUCUCUUACCUUUAUUUUUUAUUUUUCAUAACAUUAAUCACUACUCAUACUAUUUAUGCAUAAUACUAACAUGUUUAUUUGUUUAUGUCCUCCACUGGAAUACUUCCACACCUUGAAGCUUGAAGUCAGCAGAACCAAGGAGGCUCUGGAGCCACACCUAGCCCCUUCCCAAGCCAGGGAUCCUCUGCCCUUUCUGUGAAUGGUAGUUACACACCAGGAGGCAGAGUAAAGUACAAAGCUUUGAAGUCAGCUGGUUCUAGAUUCAAGUUUCACCUCUCUUAUUCACUCUUUUGUGCUUUGGGCUAAAUUCCUUGGCCUCUCAAAGUGCUCUUUCCUUGCCAUGAAGAUAGAAACAAUGCCAUCCUAUCCCUUGAGUUUUUUCCUUCUGUAACCCUCUGGGCCUCAUGUAUAGUUGGUGAGUGGACUAAAGACCUCAAAAAGCCACCUUCUCAUAUAGCUUUGCAGAAUGUAGAAAGCUUGAAUCAAUGACCUCUAUGUAUACUAGCAAUGCCAGAGCUAUAAAUCAGCAACAGGAACAAAAUAUUGCUGUCAGGGGGGCCAUCUGGAGAUCUCAGAGGGCCCCACUUUGAGAAUUACUGCUGGAGCAUUUACUCCUAUUGAUUUGUUGAACCCAUACAUUUUGGCCAUUGGCUUUGGGAGUUCUGAGAGUGGGAAGCCCUUCACUUUGUUUGUCAUUAAAGAAUACCUGAUGGGGUUCUUUUUGCUAGAUUGUUGUUUCUGUGUCUUCCACCCCCAAAAUGGAGCGCCUUUACUUACAUUUGUUGAAUCUGUGCCUAAACCAGAGCUCAGAGUUCAAGGCUGUCAUUUGCUCUAAGAAAAGGUUUGUUUCCCAGAGUUUAAGUGACAGGCACAGCAGCAAAGCCUGAGUCCAUUUGUAGAACUCAGCCAGGCCUUAAGCUGGAGGGAUAAUAGAGGUGGAGGGUAAAACAGCAGUGGUUUUGGAACCAGACAGGCUAGGUAGGAUCAUCUCUGCAUUGUUUCUCAGGAUGUUAAGUCUCACAGAAGAGAGAUACCUUAACCAUGGUCUCAUUGCUAGUGUUUACCAGAGCUGACCCAGAGGCUGCUCUCUGGAAGUCCUUUUUUGUACAUUUGCAACACAAGCUGAUCCAUCCAUAUCACAAGCAUCCAUAUCACCUGGAAACAGAAAUGCAGCUCACAGGGCUGGUCUUGGUUACUUUCCCAUUGCUAAGACAAAAUACCCAACACCCUCAAGUUACAGUAGGAAAGGUUUCUUUUAGCUCACAGUUUGUAGAGGUUUCAGUCCAUAGUCAGCUGGCUCCAAAGCAGGGUAGCAUGGCGGGGUGGCAUGGCAUGGCUGAGGAGAAAGAGUUCAUAACCUAGCAGGCAGGAAGCAGCAUGCCCUAUUUUGUUCCCUUUUUAUUCCAUCCAAGGUGCAAGCCUAUUGCUUUGUGCCACCCACACCUAGGGUUGGUCAUCCCUCUUCAGUAAGCCCAUUAUCCACACCCAGAACUAUGCUAAACCAAUCAGUAGACUAAACCAGUAUCACACACCUAUGAUCCCAGGCAUCUCCCAAAAGCCCCACCUAUGAGUGCAUGAGGCUUUGGGAGACAUCUGAAUCAGUGGUGGUGAACCCAUGGCACACGUGCUGCAGCAGGCUGUUUGUAGCAUGGAAAGCUCUAAAAGGUUCACCACCACUGAUCUAAAUGUAAGUCCUAAGAGACCUGAUCCCAGAUCAUCUGAUUCAGAAUCUGAAUUUUAAAAAGAUGGCUUGGGUGAUUCUAAUGCACAUUAAAAUUGGAGGAGUACAUCCAUGCACACCCCCUCUGGUGGAGAGUAAAAUGGUGACUUGUCCCUAAGCAAGAAUUCCCAUCUCUAUUGGGUGUUGGCACAGUGUUGGGCUAAACAGCAAAGCUCAAGGCCUCCACUGUCCAAGUUCAAACCCUGGUGCCCUGCGUAUCAGCUAUAUGAUGUUGCACAGGUUAGGUCAUUUUUCUGUGUGUCAGUGUCCUUAACUCUGGGUGGAUCAUAAGAGAACGACCUCCCAACCUGACUAUUGCCUGGGUUAAAUGAAAUAGCCAAUGUCCCCUGAACCUUGCUGUAAGACAGGCGAUACUCUUAAAUUUUCCAUGAGCUUAGACUCACACCCUGUGUUCCAGUGUCAGAUCAGUGUUGCUUUUUCCUUACCUCAUGGGACUCUAGAAAGAAGUAUGACACCUUUUACAGUACUAAUGCAAAGAGGUUAGCUCAUAAUGCUCUAAAGCCUCAGCAAUCCCCAUGUUGAGCAUUCCCUUAACUGCAGGGUUUCCUACGAGAGAGUCUCAGGCUUUGGUUUAAUCUUAAAGUUGGCAUCUGGAGGCUCAUCCCAGCAGAUAUUGCAGAAUGUUCUGGGAAGAUCCUUUUCAGCUAAACAACUGAUUCUCGUGUAGUUUAUAGACAGCAAUUCCAAGCUAAGAGACCAUAUAAAAUGAUAGGAUUCGGGAGCUGUCAAACUUCCUGGUAAUCACUACAUUCAAACACCUCAUUCUGCAGAUAAGAAAACAGCUUCAGAGAGGUCAAAUGGCUUGCUUAAGGUCACCCAGUUGGUUAAUGGCAGGAACAGAGGUAAAAGGAAGGGCUCAUUCUCAACCCAGUGCUUCCCUCUAUAAAUGUGCAGGUGUCCUCUCACUCUUUCAUUCAACAAAUAUUUCUUAAAAGUUUACAUUGUGCUGGGUGCUAUUUAGAAGCUGGGGAAAUAGUGAUGAGGACUAUAGGAAGGUAUCUGUCCUUUGAAGCUUCCAUGCUGAGAAAGGAGGAAAAAGUGAGCAUGAAAGGGAACAAAGAACCAAAUGAUUUUGGAUGCUAUUGACUGCAAAGAAGGACACAGAAUGCAGGGGAAGGUGCUAGGAAUUGACUUGGGCUGGGAAUCUGGCUGGGACAGUAUCCUCUGAGAUGGCAGAUUAGAGACAAGCCAUGAAUGAAGGAUAGGAGUGAGUCAAGCAAGUGUGGUGGUAAGAAGCUUCCAACAAGAGUCAGCUCACUGCUCCCUCCCGGCUCUUCUUCCAGCCAACCAUCCCAGGUUAGCUUCCUCUGACACAGAUGCAGAGACACUGAUCCAUCUGCAUGCAGAGGAUUUCUGGAGCAUGGAGGAAGUGGGGAUGAGCAGAGGCAGGUGGGCUGUGAUGCAAUUGCAAUGAGGCCUGAGUCUGUUCUAUGGAGGUUUUGAGGUGAAAUGGCUCUUCAGAGUGGUCCUACUUUGAGGCCAAGGGGCCAGGUCUUUGUCCUCAUGGCACUGAUCAGUUGCUGGAUACAGACUGAUCCUGGGAAAUGCGGUGGUCUUAUCUCAGGCAGCUCCCUUCCGGUGAAGGAACUUCCUGGGGGAGGGACUCGCAUGUGAGCUGUCAGUGGGCCAUACCCCACCACUGGGAGACAGAGGGAGGGGGCUCUGCUCUGUCACCACCUGCAUCCUCCACAGCCCUCACCUGGGUCCUCAAACUGUUCCUGGUAGGAUUCUCCCACUGCAGGAAAUGAGGACAUCUGUAUCUUGGCUUAUGUUUGCCUUGUCUGAGUAUUCAUUUAUUGAUCACAGAAUUGUUGAUGUUUGCUGUUUUCUGACUUCUGGGCUAGGUACUGUAGCGACAGAAAUGAAUUUGGUAAGUUUCCAUCCUGGAGCUUACAGGACUUGGAGGGGAAAAAUACAAGUAGAUAGAGACAGUUACACAGGUAUUUUUGAGCAGUGAAUUAUCUCAGAAUACUUCUGCUGGGAGGGAAGAUGUGGUCACUUCAACCUUCAAAUCCAUGGGAUCAAUGGGAGCUUUUUUACCUGAAUAUAUCCACUUUUAUAUACCAAACAGGGGUCAUGGAAUUUUAUAAACCCAUUUGAUUAGCCUGGGAAGGAAGGAAAGCAUGAAGGGAGAAAUAAAUGAACUUGUACACCAAUAACAAGACGAAUAGUGACUAAUAUUUAAUUUGCCUUACUGUGUGCCAGGCAUGGUUCUGAAAACUAAGUGUGAAUGAGCUCACAAAGGCCUCUCAGUAUUUCUACUAGAGAGACACUGUUGCAGAUGAGGAAACUAUAAUAGAAAUUUCAGAGUUCUUGGGUCUUUUUUUAAAAUUAGGAACAUAAAUGCAUGUUCUGCACUUUGAUUUGAUUCUAUAGGAAAAAUUGAAUUGCUGGAGUAUUUAAUAUAUGUGUUAAUGAUCUAGAUCUAUAGCCUCCAAUCAGUCUAUAUCCUCUGUCCUUUCUUUAGCAUUCACUGAAACUGCUGCUCUGGCUGGGAUGGAGUGGGGAGGAGAGGGAGCCUGAACCAACCCAUUCUCCAGUUUCCCCGCCCACCCGCUCCCCAGCAGGGUCUUGGACAUCAUAACUGGAACUUUGGUGGCACCCAAAAAUAAUGUAAAACCCAACUAAUCUAGAAUCCAGCACUGAUUUGCAGGUGAUAGGAAAUUGGUGAAACUGGCAAAUAGUGGCAGGGAAGAGGUGCCACCAUGCCAGCCAACAGGGUGAAGAAGGAAAUGAAGAUUCAGAAAAAACAUCACAUGGGUUCAGGUUUCAGCUGGUGCCAGUGAGGAUAUUCAGUGAAACGCUCUUGGUGACCACUGGAAAAGGUGAAUUUCAUGUAGAUUUGUAAUAGAACAAGAAUGCACCUCUUCAUCUGCUGAGGCUCAUGCUUCUUACCUGUUUCAGUCAGAAUUCCCUGAUCUUUACUGCCAGCAGCCCCCCCCCCCCCAGCUUUAAGACAGCCUGGCUACCACCUUGCCUGGGGGUUUCUCCCACCGAAGAAUAGUAGAGGUAGGAAAGCGCUUUGGGUAGAGAAAACAGCUGGGACUUUGGAAUCUCGCAGACAGCUGUGGCUUCUGUGUGACUUGGGAAGAAGCCAUGCUUCUUUGCGCUUCUCUAUCUUCAUCUGUAAACCAGAGGCAAUAAGAUGAUAAGUCCUCCACUAAAGAAUGAGGGGAUUAAAGUAACCAGAUUGGUGCCAAGUUCGUGGCAGUGUGUGGUCACUAUUCAUGCAGACUACAACUGCCUGAGCAGAUUUGAAGUCAGUAACUUUUUCCCUGGUUUUAUUAAAGUAAUACAUUUAUAUAAUAUUUGAAAAACAUAUGCACCCAUUAUCUUGCUACCUAACAACAGCCACUGUUAAUGUUUUGAUGUAUUUACUUUUAUGCUUUUUUCUGAUAAAUGAUUUUUACUGUAUUUAUAGUUCUAGAUUCUCUUGACUCAUCAUGAACAUUUUUCCAUGUCAGCUAUAAGUUUUGGGAGAAAAAAACAUGAUUACUAGUGGCCAUAUGAUAUUAUAUUAUUUGGGUUUAUCAUUAUUAACUUAGCCAUUUUCCCAACUGGUCAUUCAAGAUGUUCCUUAUUUUUUGCUCUUACCAAUGAUCACUAAUAAUAAACAAAAUAUUCUUUAAGCCCAUCUCUGAUUAUUUCACUUGAAUAAAUUCCUAGGUGUAUAUUACUGGGUCAGAGGGAAUAUAAGGCCAAACCAAAAGGUUGUAUCAGUUUACAUUCUUGAACUGGGCUUUGAAAGAGGAGCAAUUUCUGAGGCUACAUUUCCUGUUCUGUAAAAUGUAGAUAAUAGUAUGACCUUGACAGUUUCCUCAGUACUGAAUGGUUUGUGUACAUGAGCCAUCAAGCUGGUCCAGUGCCUGGUGCCCUUCCCCCUUUAUCUUCCUGACAGCCCAGCCUAACUGUCUCAUGGAAUGAACCACAAUGUGAUCACACAUCCCAUAAAGGGGCAGGGCAUUUGCCCCUGCAGGCACACUUGAAACCCUGAGUAAGUGUGGCUGCCAGUCUAAGACCAAAUACUCUAAUUAGAACUCCCCAUUUCUCUGAG